Pelobates cultripes (western spadefoot toad) is the source of this 320-nucleotide non-coding RNA. The record is from the annotation of a GenBank genome assembly. Lineage: Eukaryota; Metazoa; Chordata; Amphibia; Anura; Pelobatidae.
CUCCACACAGGGACCAUCGGCCCAAAUAAAGUACUCACCCAGCAUCACGAUGACGGGGCGAACGCAUUGAUGCCGUUCUUUCAAGCCGUUCUUUCAAGCCGCCAAGCAAACCAGGCAACGGCGUAAAUCCCCUGCCUACCGCACCACACCAGCCCUCAACCUCGAGGCGCUUUUCGGCGGACCGCGAGAGGGCCGAGACUACCUGGCAUACUCCCCGCCGGACACACCAACCAUGGGCCCCGCACUCCUAAACCUACAGCAGGCGUCAGCACCCAAGGUAGCGACAUUGGGGAAAUGCUCCUGAGACCAGCACAAGACGC